UACCAGCACCCCGAGUGGUCGGGACGAUUAUUGGGCCUAAAGCAUCCGUAGCCGGUUUUACAAGUCCUCCGUUAAAUCCAGCUGCUUAACAGAUGGGCUGCGGAGGAUACUAUAAGACUAGGAGGCAGGAGAGGCAAGCGGUACUCAGUGGGUAGGGGUAAAAUCCGUUGAUCCAUUGAAGACCGCCAGUGGCGAAGGCGGCUUGCCAGAAUGCGCUCGACGGUGAGGGAUGAAAGCUGGGGGAGCAAACCGG
Molecule: ribosomal RNA, 253 nt
Filed under: uncultured bacterium
Lineage: Bacteria
Description: partial 16S ribosomal RNA
Rfam family: Archaeal small subunit ribosomal RNA
Source: RNAcentral